RNAcentral lists this long non-coding RNA (1881 nucleotides) under Nicotiana tabacum (common tobacco). RNAcentral's name for it is "long non-coding RNA (NTAB_LNC019431)". Lineage: Eukaryota; Viridiplantae; Streptophyta; Magnoliopsida; Solanales; Solanaceae. The record is from RNAcentral.
AUACAUAUUUACAGAAUUAAUAGUAAGCAUGCUGAAGAUGUUCAAUCACCUAAACUCAUAUGGCAACUUCACAAACAACAGUUUAAUACAGUCCCAACAUUACAAGUAUAGGCAUAACUGAAACUACCUAACCAAAAUGUAAAAAACAACUAAGAUUAACUCUAACUUUCAACAUUCAAACACCAUGACUGGACUCCUAGAGGUGAGCAUCAGAUUUUAGCCAAACAUUUCAAAAAUGAACAGAAAACUACGAGUAAAAAGAAAAACAAGGAAAAAGUCAUUGAACAACAACGGAUCUGGAGUUUCACUUUCCAAUCAGCAUAUUAUAGCCAUAUUUUUUGCAGUUGUGAUAGUACCUGGAUACAACAAAGGGAAAGAAAAUCUCGAAAUCAGCUAAAGUGAAUCAAUAGAGAAGGACCAGCAACAAUAAACAACAAACAUAACCAAACAGCUUAUGUGAUCAACUAUUUUCAGCUUGGAGAAAACCAGAAAUCCUCAUGAAAAGAGUUUAAGGUUUUAAAGGAAGGAUCAGAGGGCAAUUUGAGCUAACUUUGAUAAUAAGAGUGCAGAAAACCUUUUUGGUAUUUUUCCAGGGAAAUGAAAAUCUAUCUUAGUGUCUUUUUAGUGUUUUUCCAGUUUCUAAAAAUCUAUAUCCGUGUCCCCUUUUUCAGUGAAAGAAAUGGUGCUCUUUAUAGGCCUAAAGGGCCAUGUGCUGGAUAACCAACAGGGAAAUAUUCCCUUCCAGCCUGAAAAGGCAUCUUUUUAACCACCUGGGCCAGCUGGCUGACCCUUAUUGGCUCAGCAUUUGUGCAAACCAAAUAGGGACAACUAACGUAUUUCUAGAACAUUCCUAAUAUAAAAAUAUCUUAAAGUCUUUGUUUUAUUUCCCAGCUUAAAUACCUAAGUUUUCAGUUGUUCAAUUGACCCCCCAGAAGUUCUAAUGAUUACAGACUAAUGCAAACAAAACAAAACCCUGAAUUAAGAGUAAGGAAGAUCAAAUGGAACAAAAUUCCUAUUCAAUUAAGCUUUCAACUAAACCUAAAUCCUUUUGCUCAGAUAUUGGAAUAAAAACAAGGAUAUAACCAAUAUUUACUUAAUACUAAUCACAAACAAAUGCAAUCAAUCUAACUAAUUCAUGCAAGCUAACACAGAAAAUAAUUAUGAAACCUAAAUAUGUUAACUAGCUUAGCCAAAUCAAAUUGAACUUUCGGACCUUAAUUAAUUAGCCUACGAGAUUCAAAUUAAACUAACCAAUGACGAUUACUUAAAAAAACAGAGAUGAAUGGAACUAUUGACACGAACAAAGAGAUGAGUAAUAUUGGUCAGAGGAUGAGAACACCAAAGAGAAAGAAGAGGAAAAAACAGAGAAAAUAGAAAUAAAAUUGAAGCAAAAGAAAAAUUACUUAUGUUCACUCUGGAUCCACAAAACACCCGACUAGUUUCUUCAAUAAAUGAAAUGAACCUUUAACUAACAUUAAUCGACUGUCUUUGACAAGGAACAAUCAAUUAAUGAAAGUUUGGGUUCGCUUGACCACAUACUGACCAAGAAAAGAAGGAAGGGAAAUUUAGUGCUUAUUCUGGAAUCCCAGAUUCAAAAUUCGACAAAAUUGGGGCUGAUAUGAGAGUAACCCCGGGAAUAUUUGGGAAGAGGGGGAGUAAAGGAUUGCAUGGUGUGAGUUUGGGGUUAUUUGGGUGAGUUAGAGUUUUGGGGAUUCUGAGUUUAGAUUCAAGAUUCGAAGGGUUUGAGGGGAAUUUGGGCAAGAAGAUUAGGAGAUUUGAAAAGAGGAGGGCGAGGAGAUCAUGUGGUGUUAAUUUUGUGGCGUUUGGAGUGUCGCCGCCGCCGUGGGCAAUUUCCGGUGGUUGGUUGACGGUAGAGACGGU